This 369-nucleotide ribosomal RNA is filed under the name uncultured bacterium. Its description in RNAcentral is "bacterial SSU rRNA". It matches the Rfam family "Bacterial small subunit ribosomal RNA", at positions 525 to 896 of the family's 1533-position model. The record is from RNAcentral.
ACGGAGGGUGCAAGCGUUAUCCGGAAUCAUUGGGUUUAAAGGGUCCGCAGGCGGAUUUAUAAGUCAGUGGUGAAAGCCUACAGCUCAACUGUAGAACUGCCAUUGAUACUGUAAGUCUUGAAUUCGGUCGAAGUGGGCGGAAUAUGACAUGUAGCGGUGAAAUGCUUAGAUAUGUCAUAGAACACCGAUAGCGAAGGCAGCUCACUAGGCCUGGAUUGACGCUCAUGGACGAAAGCGUGGGGAGCAAACAGGAUUAGAUACCCUGGUAGUCCACGCCGUAAACUAUGAUUACUCGUUUUCAGCGAUAUACAGUUGGAGACUAAGCGAAAGUGAUAAGUAAUCCACCUGGGGAGUACGAUCGCAAGGUUG